GAAGACUGUUGAAAAAUCAAAUGAAUCCUUAUUAAUUUCCUGCUAGUAAAGAGAUCAAGUGCUCUACUGUAACACUGAUGAUGUUUGAGUGUGAAAAUGACAAACGUCUUCACUGAUAUUAUAUUCACUACAACUUCCCCUUUUACUCAGAAAUGAAAAAACUGUGUUGAGGAGCAUUUAAAACAUCAGCACUCUCAUCAUUAUAAUACAAAUAUUCACAAACAAUUCAACACUUGAAACAAUAAGAUUUAAUGGAGAAUUCUAGUUUUUGUUAAUCCAGAUGUCUGAACUGAUGACAUGCAGUUUCAUAUUUCUGUAAGGCGGAACCAUCUAGAGGACUGAACUCAACAUUUGACAACAUAUUGCAGAAAUGAAAAAACUGUGUUGAGGAGCAUUUAAAACAUCAGCACUCUCAUCAUUAUAAUACAAAUAUUCACAAAUAAUUCAACACUUGAAACAAUAAGAUUUAAUGGAGAAUUCUAGUUUUUGUUAAUCCAGAUGUCUGAACUGAUGACAUGCAGUUUCAUAUUUCUGUAAGGCGGAACCAUCUAGAGGACUGAACUCAACAUUUGACAACAUAUUGCAGAGUUAAUAAUGGGACGUCCAGACAGACGCCACUCCAGUGUAGGAGACGGAUUUCCAUGAACCUCACAGACACACACGAUUACAUCACUUCGUCUACAGGAGGAGUUGGAGAUUUUAGGAUGUGACAAGGAGGAGGGCAUGGCCAUGCUGUGAGGAUGCAUUGCCGGCGAUUAAUCAGAUGAUCAGUUGGAGAGCGAGAUAAAGGGGGGCUGGAGGCACCAGUUCGAGAGAGACACGCGGCCGUGAUUUUUUUUCCAGUCUGUAGAUGAUCCAGGUGUUCUUCAGUGUUUCUGUACCAGGUGUAGUUGAACGCUGGUGGAUUUCCAUCACUGAUGCAGACCGUUUACACGAUAUCGAUGCAAGACCAAAUGCAACCCACACAACCUACGGCCACUUUGCACUUCAGCACCUGCUCCGCUCUCUUUCUCAGUGGGACUCUGGAACUGCCAGUCAGCUGUGAACAAAGCUGACUUCAUUCCAGCCUUUGCCACGCAGUCCACCCUCAGCAUCCUGGCACUGACAGAAACAUGGAUACGUCCAGAGGAUACAGCAACACCUGCUGCUCUCUCCAACAACUUCUCCUUCUCUCACACCCCUCGACGCACCGGUAGGGGUGGGGGAACAGGUUUGCUCAUUCAUAACAACUGGACUUUUUCACCACACUCUUCACUAUGUAACAAUACUAGUUUUGAAUUCCAUGCUAGUACUACAAUGCAACCCACAAAAAUCCAUGUUGUUGUCAUCUAUCGCCCUCCAGGUCAGCUGACAAACUUUCAUGAGGAGAUGGAUGUCCUGCUGUCCUCCUUGCCGGAGGAUGGUAGGCCACUUGUGGUUCUUGGUGAUUUCAAUAUACACCAAGACAAGCCCCAGGCCACUGAAUUGAAUACUCUCCUGGCCUCAUUUGACUUGGAAAAACUACACACCACAGCAACUCACAGAUCGGGCAACCAGCUGGACCUAAUCUUUACACGUAACUCCCAGCACGUGCUACACCACCCAGCCCCUGGCUGUCUGACGUCCUUCGUGAACAUCGGACUGACCUCAGGGCAGCUGAGAGGAGAUGGUGGAAAUCUAAAGAUCCAGCAGAUCUAGAACAAGCUGCUGGAUGACAAUCAGUCAGGCUUUAAAAGUGGACACUCCACCGAGACCGCCCUGCUGUCUGUCACCGAGUCGCUGAGACAGGCGAAAGCUGAAUCCAGAUCAUCAGUCCUGAUUCUGCUGGACCUUUCUGCAGCCUUUGACACAGUCAACCAUCAGAUAUUACUCUCUACCCUUUCCUCGCUGGGCAUCACAGGAACUGUGCUUGACUGGUUUAAUUCCUAUCUCUCAGCCCAACGACACCACAGUGACUGCUCGAAUUUCUGCCUGCCUGGCGGACAUCUCGGCCUGGAUGAAGGAGCACCACCUGCAACUCAACCCAGCCAAGACUGAACUCCUUGUCUUUCCAACCAACCCUGAUGUUGAACACAACAUCACCGCACAGCUGGGUGCAACUACAGUAACGCCUUCCAAAUCGGUCAGAAAUCUAGGGGUAAGCAUCGACAACAGACUAAAUUUCACAGACCACAUCUCAAAGACCGCAAGAUCAUGUAGAUUUACACUCUACAAUAUCAGGAAGAUAAGACCCUUCCUCUCUGAACAUGCCACACAACUGCUUGUCCAGUCACUUGUCAUAACUAGACUGGACUACUGUAACACUCUCAUUGCAGGCCUCCCUGCAUGUGCAACUAGACCCCUCCAAGUGAUCCAGAAUGCAGCAGCACGUCUGGUCUUUAAUGAACCAAAGAGAGCACAUGUUACACCACUCCUUGUCUCUCUCCACAGGCUACUGGUUGAUGCACGUAUAAACUUCAAGGCUCUGAUGCUGGCAUACAGAACAGUUACUGGGUCUGCACCAGCAUACCUAAAAUCAUUUAUGCAGAGCUACGCGCCCACUAGAAGUCUGCGGUCGGCUAAGGAACGUCGCCUUGUUGUACCAACACAAAGAGGCACCAAAACACUUUCCCGGACUUUCAGCUUCACCACACCACGUUGGUGGAACGACCUUCCCAACUCCAUCCGUGAAGCUGACUCACUCUCUGUCUUCAAAAAACGACUAAAAACACAUCUUUUCCAUGAGCACUUAACCAGUCAUUAAAAAAAAAAAAAAAAAACUUUAUUCAAUUUUGAAUACUAUUAUGAUGCUAGUGAUACUUUGUAAUACAGCACUUUUCAUACCACUGUCUCCUAAGAUGAUUCGCUUAUGUUUUCCUCUCUUGUAAGUCGCUUUGGAUAAAAGCAUCUGCCAAAUGAAUAAAUGUAAAUGUAAAUGUAUUUACAGGUAAGAAGAUAUUUAUUAACAGAAGUUAAAGAAAUAAAAAAGGAAAUACAUCCAUUAAUAAAUUAUAUAACUGAUACAUACAAUAAAACUAAUCCAAUAAAAUGUAAUGAAUUUUAAAGAGUGCACUAGAAAGAGAUAUACAGGACACUCUGAAUAAAAUUCUAUGUAGGUGGGAGGAUGAAUUAAAAAUAAAAAUUAAUCCGCAAGACUGACAAGAAAUAUCAUAUAUUCCACACUACUCAAUCCAGUGUUUGGAGGGAAUCUGCUUGGAAGAUACAAAUGAGAUGUUUUAUAAUGCCUGUUAUUCAAAGUAAAUACAAUAGCUGGUAAAUUGUGGAGAAAAAAAGACUCAUUACAGUCAAAUACUAUAUGAGUGCUCUAAACUUAUAGAAAUGAAGUGAUUAGACAGGUUAAUUUAAUAUUUAACUGCACAAUAGAAAUAUAUCCAGAAAAUGCCAUUGUCCUUAAGAAAUAAAACUGAACAAAAUAUAUUUAGGGUAAUCAGAAUAGCAGCUUUGAAACAGAUUACAAAAAAAUGGCUUAAACCAGAACCCCCCACAAUUUCAAAGAUGGAGAGAAAUGAUUUUGGAAAUAUACCAAAUGUAGAAAAUAACAUUUAUAAUUAAUAAUAAAAGCCUGGAAUGUGAACAUAAAUGGGAUUUGCUUAAAAAUAUUAUACAUUAAUUUAGACUGUUUCCUUCAGAUUCUUGAUUUUUGAACUAAAUUAGUUAAAAUAUGAGGUAUGAUGUCCUAUCUCAUUUAAUAUAAAAAAAAAAAAAAAGGUGAUGCCUUAACUUUCUUUCCACUUUAUUUGAAAUAAAAUAUAACAUGUAAAUGAAUGAAUUACACAUGUUAUUUAUAGAAUAUGUUGUGAAUGGUUAUUUGAUAUGGUUAUUCAAAAUAACAUUGUGGGGUUUUUAUUUUUUAUUUUUUAUUUCUCUUUCUUGAUGUACAAUUUGUACAUUGUCUUUAGUAAAAAAAUUAUAAAUAAAAAGCAUAAAAGGGCUACUAUUGAUUAAUUAAAAAGUGAGCACUUGGAAUACUGUAUGCAAAAAACUGGUAUGCAAUAAUAAGAUGUAUUUGUUCUUUUUAUAAAAGACACAUUUUGUGUACUGCUUAUAUUGCUUAUUGCUUAUAUUAUUAUAACUUCAAGUAAAAUACUGUGUGUUCAUCUCCAGUCCAUGAAAGAAAGAAUGGCUUUGGGUGGCGUUCAGCCCUUUCCAUAGCAAUCUUGAGCUUUUAAUAUUUUAAAAACUAUUAUUUUUUGCAGGUAUCUUAUUAAUCCAUCUUACUGGCUGUUUUAUAGAUAGCCUAAUAUAUUGUGUUUAUAUUUUCAAAGAUAUUUUUUGCUAUGGCUAAAGAGGGUAAAUGAAAAGCAAUUAAAUUUAAAAUAAAAUACAACACUCUACAUUUAGAUUCUCAAAGAAAUAAUUUAUCAUGAAGAGUCGAUUUUGUGGAUUUCUAAGAUUUUAUUUGUAAAGUGUGCUUUCAGAGACACGGGGGAGUGACUUGAUUGCAUCAGAGAUGUCACUUUACUCACAGCUGAUUGGUUCAGCAUCUGUUAGUGAUCUGCAAUCCAGAAAGAAAUCUGUUAUGGAGCAGGUCAGCCGUGUAGUGUAAGUUACUAUGGCGAUGAACACCACUAAAAGCCGACCAACUUUCAUGGUACCUAAAACCUGGGGUUGAGGCAAACUAAUCUAAGACUUACCUGGCUAGCCACCGAAACCGGCUUCAUGGUAUAGGCCUCUGAUGUUGUACAUGUGAGAUAGUUUCUAUGGUGAGUCUUUGCUUCAUAUUUAUUUAGUUUUCAUUUAGUUUAUUUGGUUUCAAUGGCCGCUAGUGUUUUUGUUUGACUUUGAAAAUAGUAUUCAGAUAAAUGGUGUCUGGUCUCUAGAUACUGGAGUUCCCCUUUUAAUGUUGUUGUUGUUG
This is a long non-coding RNA of Myxocyprinus asiaticus (Chinese sucker), 4834 nucleotides long. RefSeq lists it as uncharacterized. The record is from RefSeq and is a predicted model, not a curated record. The transcript is spliced from 10 exons. NCBI's taxonomy places the organism in Eukaryota, Metazoa, Chordata, Actinopteri, Cypriniformes, Catostomidae.